GCUUUCAUCGUCCAAUGGUCAGGACGCCUGACUUUCACUCAGGUAACGCCGGUUCAACCCCGGCUGGAAGUACCA
This 75-nucleotide transfer RNA is filed under the name Deinococcus koreensis. RNAcentral's name for it is "tRNA-Glu". It matches the Rfam family "tRNA". From Rfam's summary of the family: Transfer RNA (tRNA) molecules are approximately 80 nucleotides in length. Their secondary structure includes four short double-helical elements and three loops (D, anti-codon, and T loops). The record is from RNAcentral. Lineage: Bacteria; Thermotogati; Deinococcota; Deinococci; Deinococcales; Deinococcaceae.